RNAcentral lists this ribosomal RNA (253 nucleotides) under uncultured bacterium. RNAcentral's name for it is "partial 16S ribosomal RNA". It matches the Rfam family "Bacterial small subunit ribosomal RNA", at positions 524 to 776 of the family's 1533-position model. The record is from RNAcentral.
UGCGGAGGGGGCGAGCGUUGUUCGGAAUCACUGGGUGUAAAGGGUGCGUAGGCGGUCCGUUAAGUCUGAUGUGAAAUCCCUGGGCUCAACUCAGGAACUGCAUUGGAAACUGGCGGACUGGAGUACCGGAGAGGGAAGCGGAAUUUCUGGUGUAGCGGUGAAAUGCGUAGAUACCAGGAGGAACACCGGUGGCGAAGGCGGCUUCCUGGCCGAGUACUGACGCUGAGGCACGAAAGCGUGGGGAGCGAACGGG